RNAcentral lists this unclassified non-coding RNA (376 nucleotides) under uncultured bacterium. Its description in RNAcentral is "contains 16S-23S intergenic spacer region". The record is from RNAcentral.
UCCGGUUUGGCACCGGCAGUCUCCCAUGAGUCCCCGGCAUUACCCGCUGGCAACAUGGGACAGGGGUUGCGCUCGUUGCGCCACUUAAGGCAACACCUCACGGCACGAGCUGACGACAGCCAUGCAGCACCUGUGCCGGCCCCCGAAGGGGCGCCGUGUUUCCACGGCUUUACCCGGCAUGUCAAGCCCUGGUAAGGUUCUUCGCGUCGCGUCGAAUUAAGCCACAUGCUCCACCGCUUGUGCAGGCCCCCGUCAAUUUCUUUGAGUUUUAACCUUGCGGCCGUACUCCCCAGGCGGUGUGCUUACCGCGUUAGCUGCGACACCGAAGAGCUAGGCUCCCCAACGUCUAGCACACAUCGUUUACAGCGUGGACUAC